GAUGAACGCUGGCGGCGUGCCUAAUACAUGCAAGUCGAGCGAACAGAUGAGGAGCUUGCUCCUCUGACGUUAGCGGCGGACGGGUGAGUAACACGUGGAUAACCUACCUAUAAGACUGGGAUAACUUCGGGAAACCGGAGCUAAUACCGGAUAAUAUAUUGAACCGCAUGGUUCAAUAGUGAAAGACGGUUUUGCUGUCACUUAUAGAUGGAUCCGCGCCGCAUUAGCUAGUUGGUAAGGUAACGGCUUACCAAGGCAACGAUGCGUAGCCGACCUGAGAGGGUGAUCGGCCACACUGGAACUGAGACACGGUCCAGACUCCUACGGGAGGCAGCAGUAGGGAAUCUUCCGCAAUGGGCGAAAGCCUGACAGAGCAACGCCGCGUGAGUGAUGAAGGUCUUCGGAUCGUAAAACUCUGUUAUUAGGGAAGAACAAAUGUGUAAAUAACUAUGCACGUCUUGACGGUACCUAAUCAGAAAGCCACGGCUAACUACGUG
RNAcentral lists this ribosomal RNA (497 nucleotides) under uncultured bacterium. RNAcentral describes it as "partial 16S ribosomal RNA". It matches the Rfam family "Bacterial small subunit ribosomal RNA", at positions 28 to 507 of the family's 1533-position model. The record is from RNAcentral.